CUUUCAACAACGGAUCUCUUGGUUCUGGCAUCGAUGAAGAACGCAGCGAAAUGCGAUAAGUAAUGCGAAUUGCAGAAUCCGUGAGUCAUCGAAUCUUUGAACGCACAUUGCGCCCUUUGGCAUUCCGAAGGGCAUGCCUGUUCGAGCGUCAUUAUCACCCCUCAAGCUCCGGCUUGGUGUUGGG
RNAcentral lists this ribosomal RNA (184 nucleotides) under Rhinocladiella sp. S3. Its description in RNAcentral is "5.8S ribosomal RNA". The stretch from base 1 to 151 matches the Rfam family "5.8S ribosomal RNA". From Rfam's summary of the family: 5.8S ribosomal RNA (5.8S rRNA) is a component of the large subunit of the eukaryotic ribosome. It is transcribed by RNA polymerase I as part of the 45S precursor that also contains 18S and 28S rRNA. Functionally, it is thought that 5.8S rRNA may be involved in ribosome translocation. RNAcentral also lists the same sequence under 1 other name. The record is from RNAcentral. Lineage: Eukaryota; Fungi; Ascomycota; Eurotiomycetes; Chaetothyriales; Herpotrichiellaceae.